Molecule: long non-coding RNA, 275 nt
Filed under: Hordeum vulgare
Lineage: Eukaryota; Viridiplantae; Streptophyta; Magnoliopsida; Poales; Poaceae
Description: long non-coding RNA (HVUL_LNC002675)
Source: RNAcentral
AAAAAAGGCGGCCCCCCUCCCACCCACCACCUCCAUUCAAAUUCGCAGCACCGCCCGCACUCACCCAGUCACUCUCCUCGAGCCCAGCUCAGCUCGACACAGCGCAGCGGCUAGGAGGCCGCGAUGGGCGAGGUGGUGCUCAUGUCCAGCGCCGGCACCGGCUGCGGGGGGGAGAGGAAGGCGGCGGACCACCAGGAGAGGCAGGGGCAGCAGCAGGGGCAGGUGCUGGAGCUGCUGCUCGCCGCGCUGCGCAAGUCGGUGGCGCUGCCGNNNNN